UACGUAGGGGGCAAGCGUUGUCCGGAAUCAUUGGGCGUAAAGCGCGUGUAGGCGGCCCAGUAAGUCCGCUCUGAAAGCCCGGGGGCUCAACCCCGGGAGGCGGGUGGAUACUGCUGGGCUCGAGUCCGGAAGAGGCGAGUGGAAUUCCUGGUGUAGCGGUGAAAUGCGCAGAUAUCAGGAGGAACACCGAUUGCGAAGGCAGCUCGCUGGGACGGUACUGACGCUGAGACGCGAAAGCGUGGGGAGCAAACAGG
RNAcentral lists this ribosomal RNA (254 nucleotides) under uncultured bacterium. RNAcentral describes it as "partial 16S ribosomal RNA". It matches the Rfam family "Bacterial small subunit ribosomal RNA", at positions 524 to 776 of the family's 1533-position model. The record is from RNAcentral.